Propithecus coquereli (Coquerel's sifaka) is the source of this 371-nucleotide non-coding RNA. NCBI's taxonomy places the organism in Eukaryota, Metazoa, Chordata, Mammalia, Primates, Indriidae. The record is from the annotation of a RefSeq genome assembly.
CAUACCACAUGCCGCCCUUCAGCCUGCUGUGGGUAUUCCUGGCCUUCAGCUACUCUGGAUCCAUUGUGGCCCAGAAAGUUACUCAAGCCCAGACAGCCAGAUCCACGACAGUGGGGCAGACAGUCACCCUGAACUGCCAGUAUGAAACAAGCCGGAUUUAUUACACUAUUAAUUGGUACAAGCAACUUCCCAGCAAAGAGAUGAUUUUCCUUCUUCGCCAGGGUUCUAAUAGUCAGAAUGCAAAGGAUGGUCGCUAUUCUGUCAACUUCAGGAAAGAAGCCAAGUCCAUCGACUUGACCAUUUCAGACUUACGGCUGGAAGAUUUGGCAAAGUAUUUCUGUGCUCUCUGUGAAGCACAGUGUUUGAAGUGA